RNAcentral lists this ribosomal RNA (1347 nucleotides) under Cellulosimicrobium funkei. RNAcentral's name for it is "bacterial SSU rRNA". It matches the Rfam family "Bacterial small subunit ribosomal RNA", at positions 37 to 1393 of the family's 1533-position model. The record is from RNAcentral. Lineage: Bacteria; Bacillati; Actinomycetota; Actinomycetes; Micrococcales; Promicromonosporaceae.
UGGAGGGGGUGGCAUGGCUCCUGUAGUCGACGAUGAUGCCCAGCAUUGCUGGGCGGAUUAGUGGCGAACAGGUGAGUAACACGUGAGUAACCUGCCCUUGACUUCGGGAUAACUCCGGGAAACCGGGGCUAAUACCGGAUAUGAGCCGUCCUCGCAUGGGGGUGGUUGGAAAGUUUUUCGGUCAGGGAUGGGCUCGCGGCCUAUCAGCUUGUUGGUGGGGUGAUGGCCUACCAAGGCGACGACGGGUAGCCGGCCUGAGAGGGCGACCGGCCACACUGGGACUGAGACACGGCCCAGACUCCUACGGGAGGCAGCAGUGGGGAAUAUUGCACAAUGGGCGCAAGCCUGAUGCAGCGACGCCGCGUGAGGGAUGAAGGCCUUCGGGUUGUAAACCUCUUUCAGCAGGGAAGAAGCGCAAGUGACGGUACCUGCAGAAGAAGCGCCGGCUAACUACGUGCCAGCAGCCGCGGUAAUACGUAGGGCGCAAGCGUUGUCCGGAAUUAUUGGGCGUAAAGAGCUCGUAGGCGGUUUGUCGCGUCUGGUGUGAAAACUCGAGGCUCAACCUCGAGCUUGCAUCGGGUACGGGCAGACUAGAGUGCGGUAGGGGAGACUGGAAUUCCUGGUGUAGCGGUGGAAUGCGCAGAUAUCAGGAGGAACACCGAUGGCGAAAGGCAGGUCUCUGGCGCCGCAACUGACGCUAAGGAGCGAAAAGCAUGGGGAGCAAGCAGGAUUAGACCCCUAGGUAGUCCAGCCGUAAACGUUGGGCAGUAGGGUGUGGGGCUCAUUCCACGAGUUCCGUGCCGCAGCAAACGCAUUAAGUGCCCCGCCUGGGGAGUACGGCCGCAAGGCUAUAACUCAAAGGAAUUGACGGGGGCCCGCACAAGCGGCGGAGCAUGCGGAUUAAUUCGAUGCAACGCGAAGAACCUUACCAAGGCUUGACAUGCACGGGAAGCCACCAGAGAUGGUGGUCUCUUUGGACACUCGUGCACAGGUGGUGCAUGGUUGUCGUCAGCUCGUGUCGUGAGAUGUUGGGUUAAGUCCCGCAACGAGCGCAACCCUCGUCCCAUGUUGCCAGCGGGUUAUGCCGGGGACUCAUGGGAGACUGCCGGGGUCAACUCGGAGGAAGGUGGGGAUGACGUCAAAUCAUCAUGCCCCUUAUGUCUUGGGCUUCACGCAUGCUACAAUGGCCGGUACAAAGGGCUGCGAUACCGUAAGGUGGAGCGAAUCCCAAAAAGCCGGUCUCAGUUCGGAUUGGGGUCUGCAACUCGACCCCAUGAAGUCGGAGUCGCUAGUAAUCGCAGAUCAGCAACGAGCGGUGAAUACGUUCCCGGGCCUUGUACUCUCUAG